AUUAAAUUAAUUUAGCUUCUAUUUCAUUUUGCAUGUGUGAAGUAACAGCACAAUAUUUCAAUAUGCGACAUAUGCGCUAGUCCAACUUAACAGUCUGGAAAAUAAUGUGUCUGUUUGU
This is a long non-coding RNA of Thalassophryne amazonica, 118 nucleotides long. RefSeq lists it as uncharacterized. The record is from RefSeq and is a predicted model, not a curated record. NCBI's taxonomy places the organism in Eukaryota, Metazoa, Chordata, Actinopteri, Batrachoidiformes, Batrachoididae. The transcript has 3 exons.